This 484-nucleotide ribosomal RNA is filed under the name uncultured bacterium. Its description in RNAcentral is "partial 16S ribosomal RNA". It matches the Rfam family "Bacterial small subunit ribosomal RNA", at positions 30 to 507 of the family's 1533-position model. The record is from RNAcentral.
AUUGAACGCUGGCGGCAGGCCUAACACAUGCAAGUCGAGCGGAUGAAGGGAGCUUGCUCCUGGAUUCAGCGGCGGACGGGUGAGUAAUGCCUAGGAAUCUGCCUGGUAGUGGGGGAUAACGUCCGGAAACGGGCGCUAAUACCGCAUACGUCCUGAGGGAGAAAGUGGGGGAUCUUCGGACCUCACGCUAUCAGAUGAGCCUAGGUCGGAUUAGCUAGUUGGUGGGGUAAAGGCCUACCAAGGCGACGAUCCGUAACUGGUCUGAGAGGAUGAUCAGUCACACUGGAACUGAGACACGGUCCAGACUCCUACGGGAGGCAGCAGUGGGGAAUAUUGGACAAUGGGCGAAAGCCUGAUCCAGCCAUGCCGCGUGUGUGAAGAAGGUCUUCGGAUUGUAAAGCACUUUUAGUUGGGAAGAAGGGCAGUAAGUUAAUACCUUGCUGUUUUGACGUUACCAACAGAAUAAGCACCGGCUAACUUCGUG